Molecule: ribosomal RNA, 465 nt
Filed under: uncultured bacterium
Lineage: Bacteria
Description: partial 16S ribosomal RNA
Rfam family: Bacterial small subunit ribosomal RNA
Source: RNAcentral
GACGAACGCUGGCGGCGUGCUUAACACAUGCAAGUCGAACGGAAAGGCCCCUUUUGGGGUACUCGCGUGGCUAACGGGUGAGUAACACGCAAGUAACCUGCCCUUGACUUCGUGAUGACUUCAGGAAACUGGCUGUAAUACCGGCCAGGAAUCCUUGCUGCAUGGUUGGGGUUGGAGAGCUUCGGCGGUUUUGGGUGGAGUUCCGGCCUAUCAGCUUGUUGGUGGGGGAGUGGCUUACCAAGGGUUUGACGGGUAGCCGGCCUGGGAGGGGGACCGGGCAAAAUGGGGCCUGAAAAAGGGCCAGAAUCCUAAGGGAGGCAGGAGGGGGGAAAAAUGGAAAAAGGGCGGAAGGCUGAUGCAGCAACGCCGCGGGCGGGAUGACGGGCUUCGGGUUGGAAACCGCCUUCAGCAGGGGCGAAGCUUGUGGUGACGGUACCUGCAGAAGAAGCACCGGCUAACUACGUG